This 109-nucleotide non-coding RNA is filed under the name Bacillus sp. (in: firmicutes). RNAcentral's name for it is "Bacillus sp. SAM-I sequence". It matches the Rfam family "SAM riboswitch aptamer (S box leader)". From Rfam's summary of the family: The SAM riboswitch is found upstream of a number of genes which code for proteins involved in methionine or cysteine biosynthesis in Gram-positive bacteria. The SAM riboswitch acts at the level of transcription termination control. Lineage: Bacteria; Bacillati; Bacillota; Bacilli; Caryophanales; Bacillaceae. The record is from RNAcentral.
ACCUUAUCAAGAGAGGCGGAGGGACUUGGCCCGAUGAAGCCCGGCAACCGGUUGAUGCAACACGGUGCCAAUUCCAGCAGAGCAGGCAGACAGCUCUGGCAGAUAAGAA